UCCCAAAAUUCCACUACCAUUUAUUAACCCUUAAACCGUACUGAAUGAUCUCAUAACCUUAUGAGAGCCUAUAUGUUAGAACUAGUAACAAGAAGACAGCCCUUCUCCAAAAUGUAAACAUGAACCAAAACGAACCACUCAUUGGCACUUAAAGUUAAUAAAUCAAUAGUAGAAACCUAACAAGAAAAGUCUACUAAAUACAACGUCAACCUUACACUAGUACAUUACUGGAAAGAAUAAAAGAAUGGGAAGGAACUCGGCAAACCACUAACCCCGCCUGUUUACCAAAAACAUCGCCUCUUGACACCCAUAAGAGGUCCAGCCUGCCCAGUGACUAAGUUAAACGGCCGCGGUACCCUAACCGUGCAAAGGUAGCGCAAUCACUUGUUCUUUAAUGAGGACUAGUAUGAACGGCAUCACGAGGGGUUAUGCUGUCUCCCCCACUCUAUUCAGUGAAACUGAUCUCCCCGUGAAGAAGCGGGGAUAAAAAUAUAAGACGAGAAGACCCCAUGGAGCUUUAAACUCAGUAUCAACUGCUUUAUAAAUCAACCUAAUAUCUAUGCAACCCUGAUUACUAGUUUUCGGUUGGGGUGACCACGGAGCAUAAAACAACCUCCACGACGAAAGGAAGUAAUAACCUAAAUUAAGAGUUACAACUCUAAAUAUCAACAAAUUGACUAAAUUGAUCCAAUAAAUUGAUCAACGAACCAAGUUACCCUGGGGAUAACAGCGCAAUCCAUUUCAAGAGCUCAUAUCGACAAAUGGGUUUACGACCUCGAUGUUGGAUCAGGGUAUCCCAGUGGCGCAGCCGCUACUAACGGUCGU
This 825-nucleotide ribosomal RNA is filed under the name Microhyla malang. RNAcentral describes it as "partial 16S rRNA". It matches the Rfam family "Bacterial large subunit ribosomal RNA", at positions 1437 to 2575 of the family's 2925-position model. Lineage: Eukaryota; Metazoa; Chordata; Amphibia; Anura; Microhylidae. The record is from RNAcentral.